Non-coding RNA from Poecilia reticulata (guppy), 327 nucleotides. NCBI's taxonomy places the organism in Eukaryota, Metazoa, Chordata, Actinopteri, Cyprinodontiformes, Poeciliidae. The record is from RefSeq and is a predicted model, not a curated record.
CAUUUUCAAGGCAGCAGGUGGACUUUCUUUUUGAAGUUAAACCACCUUUAAAUGUUUUACAGUGUAGGAGAUCGAGGUGAAUCAGGGAUUCGAGACCUUCAUGGUCCUGUUGCGUUUCCAUAACUUUCUCCAUAAUCUGCUAAUGUCAAAACAGCAGAAUUUCACCUUUUAAUAAGAAAUUGAAUUAAUAAGUUUGUUCAUGUGAUAAUUAAAAAUCACGAUUCUUCAACUACUUCCUGUCAUCGUCUUUGUGGUUUACGCCAGUGGCAACAUCCGGUUGUUGGUCAUGUGACUCGUGUUUCUAUUGUAACUAAUUUAGAUACAGCC